This 237-nucleotide ribosomal RNA is filed under the name uncultured bacterium. RNAcentral's name for it is "partial 16S ribosomal RNA". It matches the Rfam family "Bacterial small subunit ribosomal RNA", at positions 524 to 760 of the family's 1533-position model. The record is from RNAcentral.
UACGUAGGGUGCGAGCGUUGCCCGGAUUUAUUGGGCGUAAAGGGCGCGUAGGCGGCUCUGCACGUCCGUUGUGAAAUCGCCCGGCUCAACUGGGCGGGGUCAUUCGAUACUGGCGGGCUCGAGGCCGGUAGGGGGAAGCGGAAUUCCCGGUGUAGUGGUGGAAUGCGUAGAUAUCGGGAGGAACACCAGUGGCGAAGGCGGCUUCCUGGACCGGUUCUGACACUGAGGAGCGAAAGA